Anopheles coustani is the source of this 346-nucleotide long non-coding RNA. RefSeq lists it as uncharacterized. NCBI's taxonomy places the organism in Eukaryota, Metazoa, Arthropoda, Insecta, Diptera, Culicidae. The transcript is spliced from 3 exons. The record is from RefSeq and is a predicted model, not a curated record.
CAAAAAGAACCUUGCCAAGUGUAUUUUUGGUGGGCAUGGACUUCUCAUAACCUACCAAUAAUUUUUUUUUGGGAGGCACCGCAGUGGAAAGAGCCGUUGUUACCGGGUGUAACAUAGUAUCGGUGGCCAGUGUUCGAUAGCAGCGCUUGGAUCGACCGACUCGGGGUGGUUAAUCGGGGCCGGGUUAACUCGCACCAGACAGUAAUGUCUCGACAAGGAGGAAGAAGCGGCUUCAAGUGAACAUCAACGCGUUCUACGUGUUUUCACUGGCCAUGACGGAGUGGUGCUGCUCAUCGUACAUCGAAGGAGCCUGCUACGAUCCGUGGUCGCUGUUUGCCAGCACGAA